Molecule: ribosomal RNA, 405 nt
Filed under: uncultured bacterium
Lineage: Bacteria
Description: bacterial SSU rRNA
Rfam family: Bacterial small subunit ribosomal RNA
Source: RNAcentral
GAUGAACGCUAGCGGCAGGCCUAAUACAUGCAAGUCGAACGGUAAGGCCCUUUCGGGGUACACGAGUGGCGGACGGGUGCGUAACGCGUAUGCAACAUGCCUUCCAGCGGGGGAUAUACCAGGGAAACUUGGCGCAAUACCCCAUAGAAUUACGGGACCGCAUGGUCUUGUGAUUAAAACUCCGGUGCUGGGAGAUUGGCAUGCGUGACAUUAGCUAGUUGGCGGGGUAACGGCCCACCAAGGCGACGAUGUCUAGCUGGUCUGAGAGGAUGAUCAGCCACACUGGGACUGAGACACGGCCCAGACUCCUACGGGAGGCAGCAGUAGGGAAUAUUGGACAAUGGGGGAACCCGUCGAUCCAGCCAUGCCGCGUGAGGGAAGAAGGUCCGUCUGGAUUGUAAACCU